RNAcentral lists this ribosomal RNA (495 nucleotides) under uncultured Chrysochromulina. Its description in RNAcentral is "bacterial SSU rRNA". It matches the Rfam family "Bacterial small subunit ribosomal RNA", at positions 90 to 618 of the family's 1533-position model. The record is from RNAcentral. Lineage: Eukaryota; Haptophyta; Prymnesiales; Chrysochromulinaceae.
CUUUAGUGGCGAACGGGUGCGUAAUACGUGAGAAUCUGCCCUUAGGAGGAGUAUAACUGUUGGAAACGACUGCUAACACUCCAUAUGUCGAGAGAUGAAAUAAUUUAUUGCCUAAGGAUGAGCUCGCGCCUGAUUAGCUAGUUGGUGAGGUAAUGGCUCACCAAGGCCACGAUCAGUAGCUGGUUUGAGAGAACGAUCAGCCACACUGGGACUGAGACACGGCCCAGACUCCUCCGGGAGGCAGCAGUGAGGAAUUUUCCGCAAUGGGCGAAAGCCUGACGGAGCAAUACCGCGUGAGGGAUGAAGGAUUUUGGUCUGUAAACCUCUUUUCUCAAGAAAGAAGUUCUGACGGUACUUGAGGAAUAAGCAUCGGCUAACUCCGUGCCAGCAGCCGCGGUAAUACGGGGGAUGCAAGCGUUAUCCGGAAUCAUUGGGCGUAAAGCGCCUGUAGGUUGUUUAAUAAGUCUGUUGUUAAAGACUAGGGCUCAACCCUAG